This 583-nucleotide ribosomal RNA is filed under the name uncultured bacterium. RNAcentral describes it as "bacterial SSU rRNA". It matches the Rfam family "Bacterial small subunit ribosomal RNA", at positions 70 to 642 of the family's 1533-position model. The record is from RNAcentral.
UAACAGAGAUAGCUUGCUAUUUGCUGACGAGCGGCGGACGGGUGAGUAAUGCUUGGGAAUAUGCCUUUGAGUGGGGGACAACAGUUGGAAACGACUGCUAAUACCGCAUAACGUCUACGGACCAAAGGGGGGGAUGCUUCGGCACCUCUCGCUCAUUGAUUAGCCCAAGUGAGAUUAGCUAGUUGGUAAGGUAAUGGCUUACCAAGGCGACGAUCUCUAGCUGGUUUGAGAGGAUGAUCAGCCACACUGGGACUGAGACACGGCCCAGACUCCUACGGGAGGCAGCAGUGGGGAAUAUUGCACAAUGGGCGAAAGCCUGAUGCAGCCAUGCCGCGUGUGUGAAGAAGGCCUUCGGGUUGUAAAGCACUUUCAGCGAGGAGGAAAGGUUAGUAGUUAAUAGCUGCUAGCUGUGACGUUACUCGCAGAAGAAGCACCGGCUAACUUCGUGCCAGCAGCCGCGGUAAUACGAGGGGUGCAAGCGUUAAUCGGAAUUACUGGGCGUAAAGCGUGCGUAGGUGGUUUGUUAAGCAAGAUGUGAAAGCCCCGGGCUCAACCUGGGAACUGCAUUUUGAACUGGCAAACU